Molecule: ribosomal RNA, 496 nt
Filed under: uncultured bacterium
Lineage: Bacteria
Description: partial 16S ribosomal RNA
Rfam family: Bacterial small subunit ribosomal RNA
Source: RNAcentral
GAUGAACGCUGGCGGCGUGCCUAAUACAUGCCAGUCGAGCGAACGGACGAGAAGCUUGCUUCUCUGAUGUUAGCGGCGGACGGGUGAGUAACACGUGGAUAACCUACCUAUAAGACUGGGAUAACUUCGGGAAACCGGAGCUAAUACCGGAUGAUAUUUUGAACCGCAUGGUUCAAAAGUGAAAGACGGUCUUGCUGUCACUUAUAGAUGGAUCCGCGCUGCAUUAGCUAGUUGGUAAGGUAACGGCUUACCAAGGCAACGAUGCAUAGCCGACCUGAGAGGGGGAUCGGCCAACCGGGAACUGAAACACGGUCCAAACCCCCACGGGGGGCAGCAGUGGGGAAUCUUCCGCAAUGGGCGAAAGCCUGACGGAGCAACGCCGGGGGAGUGAUGAAGGUCUUCGGAUCGUAAAACUUUUUUAUUAGGGAAGAACAAAUGUGUAAGUAACUGUGCACAUUUUGACGGUACCUAAACAGAAAGCCACGGCUAACUACGU